Tympanuchus pallidicinctus (lesser prairie-chicken) is the source of this 711-nucleotide long non-coding RNA. RefSeq lists it as uncharacterized. The transcript has 2 exons. The record is from RefSeq and is a predicted model, not a curated record. Lineage: Eukaryota; Metazoa; Chordata; Aves; Galliformes; Phasianidae.
UGCAUUUGAGUGACUGGAAGGGGUGGAUCCUGGCUCCAUCCCUUCCCAGCCCUCAUUUAAGGGCUGGCAGGGGGAGGUAAGUGUGGCUUGUUAGAGAUCCCUGCUUACCUGGGGCCUUUUAAAGGCUGGGAGCUCUUCGUGCUGCUUCCUGCAAAGCCCUGGUAGGAUGCAGUAACACAAGGCUGCGCUUCAGAGCUGCGCUAUGAAGAAGGAUCCUACCUACACACCAAUGAGGCUGUCCAAGAACUUGACAGGACUCUGUUUGAAAAAGAUGUUGAAAGAAAUGAUCUCUUUAAGUGCAAUGGGAGAUAUUUGUCUCUGAUUUACCCUUGGCUUUUUGCUCUGGUUCAGGUAGGAGCGGUGUGGGAUGGCUGGCAGAUCUGAGAGCAUGGCACGCCCCAGCGGGCAAAGCGAGCAGUGCGGAGGAAGGCGCGAGUCAGUUUGGAGUGCUCCCCAUUUAUCAAACUCACGCAGCCCGCCAGCAGAGCGAGUCUUUCUAUCAUUACAGCUCUCAAAAUCCGAUUCAUACCACUAAUCCUGCCUUCAUUCUCCCAGAUUAAUAACAUCUCUUUCAACCUUCACAGUGUGAUAAAUAGACAAAGAGAGAACAAAAGGAGAAACAGAAGUGAGAGAAAGAGCCAGAGCAACUCCACAUAAUAAAGAGAACCAAGAAAGGGGAGAGAAAAAAAAAAAAAAAAAAGGAAAAAGAAA